CUAUACAUGCAGUCGAGCGGACAGAAGGGAGCUUGCUCCCGGAUGUUAGCGGCGGACGGGUGAGUAACACGUGGGUAACCUGCCUGUAAGACUGGGAUAACUCCGGGAAACCGGAGCUAAUACCGGAUAGUUCCUUGAACCGCAUGGUUCAAGGAUGAAAGACGGUUUCGGCUGUCACUUACAGAUGGACCCGCGGCGCAUUAGCUAGUUGGUGGGGUAAUGGCUCACCAAGGCGACGAUGCGUAGCCGACCUGAGAGGGUGAUCGGCCACACUGGGACUGAGACACGGCCCAGACUCCUACGGGAGGCAGCAGUAGGGAAUCUUCCGCAAUGGACGAAAGUCUGACGGAGCAACGCCGCGUGAGUGAUGAAGGUUUUCGGAUCGUAAAGCUCUGUUGUUAGGGAAGAACAAGUGCGAGAGUAACUGCUCGCACCUUGACGGUACCUAACCAGAAAGCCACGGCUAACUACGUGCCAGCAGCCGCGGUAAUACGUAGGUGGCAAGCGUUGUCCGGAAUUAUUGGGCGUAAAGGGCUCGCAGGCGGUUUCUUAAGUCUGAUGUGAAAGCCCCCGGCUCAACCGGGGAGGGUCAUUGGAAACUGGGAAACUUGAGUGCAGAAGAGGAGAGUGGAAUUCCACGUGUAGCGGUGAAAUGCGUAGAGAUGUGGAGGAACACCAGUGGCGAAGG
Molecule: ribosomal RNA, 688 nt
Filed under: Bacillus zhangzhouensis
Lineage: Bacteria; Bacillati; Bacillota; Bacilli; Caryophanales; Bacillaceae
Description: bacterial SSU rRNA
Rfam family: Bacterial small subunit ribosomal RNA
Source: RNAcentral